GGAAGUCAUCGUGCUUUGGAUAGUGUUCCAAUAGGAGUUCUAUGUGGUAUCCACAUUCCCAAAUUGUUUACUCCUAUAGUGCUUCCUUUCAAACAAAAAGUUGAGAGGCAAUGAAUCCAGUGAGGAACUAUAUUGCUUGAAACAAAGAAUCCCAGUAUUUUUUUUUUUUAACUGGAUAAUUGAAUGUUUUAAGUGAGUCAGUACAUUUAAAUAGCAUUUUCAGGUUCAGUAUGAAGAAAAUGGGGUAUUUUCUCUCUAUUUUUAACCGCAGCCUCACAUAAAGAUCUGAGAGCUAAUCCUAUAAAGAGAUUUCCGAGACAAAGAAUAAAGGUAAAACUAGUAAUAGAACAUUGGUAUUGGUAUCCAGUUACCAUUUGUUGCUAAUCUCUAAGUCUCCAGUAGCGAAAACCCAGAUGAUCUGCAUGAUGGAAACUUGGAGUACCGACUUGGUAGGAAGAAUUAAAGAAGCAGGAAAUGGAUAUCGAAUGCGAAAAAUAAUUCUUUGAAAAAAUUGAUGUUUAUUUGUGAUUCUGACAACCGACUUAUCUCCUCCCUAGUCCGAUAAGUCCUGCCAAAAGAAUUCCUUCCAAGAAAAUUCCUGAAAUAAAGUUUGAUGGAAAACACGACCUUCAGCAUCCAGUAAACAACAGUUAGAAAAGAUAAAUGGUUUUAUAAUGUCAAACCUUUCUAACGUAACAGGCAUGACUAAUUUCUAGGUGGGAAGUAGAGGCUGUCUCUCAUCAUGUCCUACACGAUGAGUAAUCUCUUCAUUUGCUCCAGCUGCCAUGUUUAUGAUUGAAUCUUUUGACCUCUGCCCGUCUUGAACAUCCAUUAGUUCCACCACCCCAUUCUGCUGUUCCUCUUUGACUUUUGAUAGUGAUGAGAAAAACUGGUGCAUUGAGAUGAACACAACAGAAAUUCCCAACAUGAAAUUCAUGGUCAAAGUAUGACCAAACAUUGCUGCUGAUGCAAUGCCUGUGAAGAUUGUGGCAACUGUUGAAGAGUACUUCUUCAGGAUUGUAUCUGCAUAUUUGAAGAAAAAAGAGGACAAUAUUCCUUGGGCUGCAUUGUUACAUAUUAGAAGCAUGGUGGCCUUUGAAUGACCUUGCAGGAUGUCAAAGCUACUGGGACCUUUGACAAUGGCGGUUCCCAAUAUUGCUAGAAAAUUGAAGAUAGCACCAUAUCCAUACAAAAAUAAGUUCUGAAGAUAUAUGCUUGUAUCAUAUUGGCUCUUCAGAGCAUACUCGUUGUAGACUGAGGCCAACGAUGGAACAGUUACAAAUAUAAGUGUGUAAACAUAUGCACCCGUUGCAACUGGAAGGCCCAUUGCAGUACUACCUUCAGGUAAAGAACGCAGCUGAUUUAUACUAAUCCCAAUGAGCAACAAAGCAAGAGCCUCCCACUGAAGAACAGAAAAUCGGCGUCUCAUUAUUAUCUUUAGCAACACAGCAAUCACCAAAACCUUCAGAUUGCUUAGCAUUUUCACUGUUGCAGGAUUGAAAUAUAACUGCAUGGUGAACUUUAGAUAAUUAUUGAUAGCAUAUAGAAGAGCUGGAACAGCUAGAAGAACAUUGUUACGAGCUGCCUGUACAAAUGUAGAAAAUGAGAGAAGAGGCUUCUCUCCAACUUUCUGGUGCUUUGCCUGGAACAAAAGCAUAACAAUCGCAAAUAGAGCCUUUGCAGCUUCUGUCAAGAAGUUGACACUAACUGGGCUAAACAUGAAUUUCCCAUCCACCUUGGACAUGUACACCAAAAUAGGCUGUAAACCGACUAGUAUGCAAUCACCAGCAACUAAGAGCACAUUGAGGGCACGUUGCUUUGAUGAUACCCUGCUCUUAUGUCGGUCAUAAGCUCUUGAAAAAGGUUUGGUAUUUGGUGAAACCAAUUUCGAAUGGCAGACGCUGCAUUCUAUCAUCCCGUUUUUCAUUGGUUCACCCCUAUUACUAUCACACUCCUCAGUCUUCACAAAACUGAAUCUAAACCCACUUUCUCUCAACCAAUCAUUGUCCAAAACUGCCCUCCGCGCCGGUGAAAUUCCAGAACCAGAUCCACCGUUCACGCCUCCAGAACUCAAUUGUCUCUAUUUCUAUCACUUUCUCUUGCUCUCUCGCUACCUGAGAGACUCCAAUUCCAAAAGGUUGAAGAUUUUAAGGGCUCAAACGAGAACUUGAAUUCUCUGAGAAUGUUUAAAGAGAUGCGAAGAAUAUGCACACACAGGGACUCCGAGGGAGAGAGGGGUACGGCUUAAAUGCGGAAUUUUUAUUAUAAAUAUAAAAUUCACUUGCUUUGAAUUCACUCGCAAACUCGGCCUCGAGGCGGAAGGCGCUAUUAUGGCUUUUUCUAGAGUGGGGUGGAAGACUUUCGUAGUAGCUUUUGGC
This 2378-nucleotide unclassified non-coding RNA is filed under the name Hevea brasiliensis (rubber tree). The record is from RNAcentral. Lineage: Eukaryota; Viridiplantae; Streptophyta; Magnoliopsida; Malpighiales; Euphorbiaceae.